RNAcentral lists this ribosomal RNA (332 nucleotides) under uncultured Planctomycetota bacterium. Its description in RNAcentral is "bacterial SSU rRNA". It matches the Rfam family "Bacterial small subunit ribosomal RNA", at positions 29 to 351 of the family's 1533-position model. The record is from RNAcentral. Lineage: Bacteria; Pseudomonadati; Planctomycetota.
AACGAACGUUGGCGGCGUGGAUUAGGCAUGCAAGUCGAACGAAUCCCAGUUUUGUAGCAAUACCGAGCUGGGGGAAGUGGCGAAAGGGGCAGUAAUGCGUGGGUAACCUACCCUGGGGACGGGGAUAGCCUUCCUAACGGAAGGGUAAUACCUGGCGAUUCGGCGAGAGGACAUCCUCUUGCCGGGAAAUGAGUUUCGCCUCGGGAGGGGCUCACGUCGUAUUAGCUUGUUGGUGAGGUAACGGCUCACCAAGGCAAAGAUGCGUAGCGGGUGUGAGAGCACGACCCGCGCCACUGGCACUGAGACACUGGCCAGACACCUACGGGAGGCAG